AUUGAACGCUGGCGGCAGGCCUAACACAUGCAAGUCGAGCGGAGCGGCGGACGGGUGAGUAAUGCCUAGGAAUCUGCCUGGUAGUGGGGGAUAACGUCCGGAAACGGGCGCUAAUACCGCAUACUAUCAGAUGAGCCUAGGUCGGAGUAGCUAGUUGGUGGGGUAAAGGCCUACCAAGGCGACGAUCCGUAACUGGUCUGAGAGGCUGAUCAGUCAACCUGGAACUGAGACACGGUCAUGACUCCUACGGGCGGAAGCGGGGGGGAAUAGGGGACAAUGGGCGAAAGGCUGAACCAGCGAUGCCGCGUGGGCGAAGAAGGUCUUAGGAUUGUAAAGCACUUUAAGUUGGGAGCGGUUACCAGGAGAAUAAGCACCGGCUAACUACGUGCCAGCAGCCGCGGUAAUAC
Molecule: ribosomal RNA, 407 nt
Filed under: uncultured bacterium
Lineage: Bacteria
Description: partial 16S ribosomal RNA
Rfam family: Bacterial small subunit ribosomal RNA
Source: RNAcentral